GUGACCUGCAUGGGGUCUUACAUAGUUACGGCGAUAUUUUGUUUAUUAAUCGAGUCUAAUUGUAUUCAAUUUCAACUGUAUUGCCAGCACAAUUUUAUGAAGAGGCCCAGGGAGAUAAUAAAUCUCUCUCUCUCUUUAUAUAUAUAUAUACAUAUAUAUUUAUAUAUAUAUGCGCGUGUGUGUGUGUGUGAGUGACGGCAGUGAAUAACAGCUAUAAAACUUUGCUCCAUAUUGCUUCUAAAGGUAAGAUUCGCAAGCGAAUAACACACGUUCACAGCGAAAGUUCGCCCUUGUCCUGUACCGUAUAUUGGAUCGUAUUGUGCACACGAGGCGACGAUGCUGGAAAACUGCACAAAAUGAAAACAAUUCCAUUACAAAGAGUGGAAGAAAUGGACCAGAACAAAAAAGAGAGGGAAUAUAAAGAAAAGGCUAUGAAGUAUAAAGCUGGAGACAACACCGCAGUAAACCAUAACUUUAGAGGAAUUUGUCAUCAUUAGCAACGCUUCAGGUGGUUGUGUGCGUGUGUGCAGAAGUGAACAUUACUAUACCGCCAUCAUUACAGCGAACUAUUCACCUAUUUA
This is a non-coding RNA of Zootermopsis nevadensis, 581 nucleotides long. The record is from RefSeq and is a predicted model, not a curated record. NCBI's taxonomy places the organism in Eukaryota, Metazoa, Arthropoda, Insecta, Blattodea, Termopsidae.